AACAGGACAUAAUUGGAGGAACUGUUUAUUUUAUCAAGGCUUUGACUGGAAUGAUAUGCUUUCCUUUAAAGAAUUAAACUUGACUUAUAGAGCCAAUAAAAGCACCUUGAGAAAACUGGCCUCAUACCUUGUCUACACAGCCCCUGUACAGCAUUCCUGACCUGUGUUUGAACUGAAUUCUAUUUUUUCCCGGCUACCAGUCUCCAAAACAACAUUUUCAAUUGUUUGCCUUCUCUCUUUUCUCCUCCCCUGCCCCACUUUUCCUAAUUUGAAAUCACUGAAAACUAAGCUGUGCUUUCUUAAAGACCUGCAAACUGAAGCUAGACAACAAAUUUCCAAAGCAAAUAACAGCAACAUAUUUACAUACAUAAGCCACUUUCAUACCUGCCUACUGAUGUACGGACUUCAGAGUAAUAUGGCCUUUAUCAGUUUUCCAGGAUUGUUCUUUUUUGUUUGUUGUUUUCUCCCUUCCUCCCUCUAUUUUCUCUUUCUGGGAUAUGAAACUCCUGCUAAAAAUGAGUUUUCCUAAUAACAUGAGACCUACCUGUCUAGGAAUAAACCAUCCUAACAAUGAGAAAUCACAGGAAACCUGAGACCGGAGACUCAUUUUCUUCUAAAAUGCCCUCUCUGAAAGAUUUCAAAAAGAAAAGGAGGAAAUAUGAAGGGAAAAUAAAUCUUGGGACCCUCAAAUCACUAUGCUACAGGGAAAGGUCAAGCUGGGAACUGCUUAGGGCAAACCUGCCUCCUAUUCUAUUCAGGGUCAUCCCUCUGCACACUGAGAUAAAUGCACAUCUGACUGUCUCCUUUGGAAAUGCUAACAGAAACUCAAAAGAAUGCAACCAGUUUGUCUCUCACCUACCUAUGACCUGGAAACGGAAAUCCCCUCCCCGUUUUGAAUUGUCCCUGCCUUUCCAGACUGAACCAAUGUACAACUUACCCAUAUGGAUUGAUAUCUCACGUCUCCCUAAAAUGUGUAAAAGCAAGCUAUGCUCCCACCACCUUGGGCGCAUGUUGUCAGGACCUCCUGAGGCUGGGUCACAGGUGUGCAUCCUUAACUUUGGCAAAGUAAACUUCUUAAAUUGACUGAGACCUGUCUCAGAUAUUUUGUGUUCAUAAGGAAUUAUUGUUAAGUUUUCUGGAUCUGGUCAUAAAAUUGUGUUUGUGUUAUGGUUAUUCAAUUUGUCUAUGUUAGAGAUUUUUCCUAAAGAAUUUACAAGUAAAAGGAUAUUUUAUCCUUGAUUGCUUUAAAAUACUCUAGUAAAUGAACAAAAAGUGGUGGGGAGGAUAGAGUAUAACUAAGAGCAACAGAAUGUUGCUCACUGUUGAAAUGGAGUGAUAGGUGCAUGGACACUUCUUAUACCAUUCUCUCUGCUUUGUGUGUGUUUGACAUUUUCCAUAAUAAAAAGGUAUUAAUUCCCUCAUUCCUGUCUCCCCAAGUGAAGCUUUGAGCUAAAAAGGUCAAGUGUUAUAUCAAAUAAAAAUUUUAAUAUAAAUUA
Molecule: long non-coding RNA, 1496 nt
Filed under: Homo sapiens (human)
Lineage: Eukaryota; Metazoa; Chordata; Mammalia; Primates; Hominidae
Description: HSALNT0291896
Source: RNAcentral